RNAcentral lists this ribosomal RNA (465 nucleotides) under Vreelandella stevensii. Its description in RNAcentral is "partial 16S ribosomal RNA". It matches the Rfam family "Bacterial small subunit ribosomal RNA", at positions 338 to 795 of the family's 1533-position model. The record is from RNAcentral. Lineage: Bacteria; Pseudomonadati; Pseudomonadota; Gammaproteobacteria; Oceanospirillales; Halomonadaceae.
CCUACGGGAGGCAGCAGUGGGGAAUAUUGGACAAUGGGCGAAAGCCUGAUCCAGCCAUGCCGCGUGUGUGAAGAAGGCCUUCGGGUUGUAAAGCACUUUCAGCGGGGAAGAAAGCCUUGGGGCUAAUACCCUCGAGGAAGGACAUCACCCACAGAAGAAGCACCGGCUAACUCCGUGCCAGCAGCCGCGGUAAUACGGAGGGUGCGAGCGUUAAUCGGAAUUACUGGGCGUAAAGCGCGCGUAGGCGGUCUGAUAAGCCGGUUGUGAAAGCCCCGGGCUCAACCUGGGAACGGCAUCCGGAACUGUCAGGCUAGAGUGCAGGAGAGGAAGGUAGAAUUCCCGGUGUAGCGGUGAAAUGCGUAGAGAUCGGGAGGAAUACCAGUGGCGAAGGCGGCCUUCUGGACUGACACUGACGCUGAGGUGCGAAAGCGUGGGUAGCAAACAGGAUUAGAUACCCCAGUAGUC